This is a long non-coding RNA of Esox lucius (northern pike), 1345 nucleotides long. The record is from Ensembl. NCBI's taxonomy places the organism in Eukaryota, Metazoa, Chordata, Actinopteri, Esociformes, Esocidae.
GCCUUAAAAAAACAAGUAAACACCAAGCAUCAGUAACACUGCACAAUAUUGGAGCAGCAAAUAUCAAACAGGCUGCACUGAUCUAUAGAUUUUGUGUUCAAUAGUAAUAUAGAGGAUUAACAGUUGGUGGGAUGAACCAGUGACUGAAGGUGUUUCUCAGCUUCCACAGGAAGUCCUUCCUCAUCAGUUUUCGGUUAGGCAGACAUUGACAGAUUUCCGCAUGUGUCGUUCCCGGUUCUUUACUCUGAAAACGGAUAAGGAGCAUAGUAAACGUAGGCGGGGAAAUGUGAGGGGCGGUCGAACGGGAUGUGUUUAUUUGUUUCAUGCAGGGCAGCACCUUACCUGGCUAAGGUAACCUCUGGGUUCGAAUUGCUGAAGAGACAAUGCAUGGACUGAUUCCUAGCAGGAUUGCUAGCUCUACAGUCAGGUGAGUGCAAAGUUGUAAGUUAUAAUGUUUGUUUCUGGAAAAAAGUAACUAGGCAAGGUAACGUCAUAAUGUUAAACUAUCUAGUUGAGGCUAGCUAGCUACGUUAAUUAGCUAAUUGAUUAGCCAUGUAAAUGACAUUACAAUUUGAUCCGAGCCAACUCACAACCUUAACUGUAUGGGUACAGUAGUAAUUGUUAUAUAGCCAACGUCAAUGUAAUUAUUUUGUUUUAUAACAGAGUUUGUACGUUAUAUCGCCCAACAUGUUUAUAUGCGAUGAUAUGUUCUUGAUAUUCAUUUUGACUGUGUUGUACUUUGUUGGGGCGCAUAGGUCCACUAGUGUGUACAACAGUAUAGAGAAAGACAGGUCAUUGUUUACCUUAGCAACCAGCAUAAAGGGUAAAGCUUCAGUAUGUUGAAAAACCCAUUGCCUUUGUGUUUUGCUUGAAACUAACGUUCUAAAACGUAUAUAAUGAAUAAUUAUAGCACAAUAGAAACAUCUUUCACUAUCAUAAAUAUUUAGCUAAAUACCUGUUAUAGCCAGAUAGUCGGUGGCAUAGCGAAGCAGGCUGGAUAGCUGUAGUGUGAACUGCUAUAGCACCAGUCACAAUAUGAGUGCCUGUAGCAAUAAAACUAUUGCUUGUGCUAUAGCUAGGAAAUACAGUUCCCUCUAUAAGUAUUGGAACAAUGAAGUCACCACUUGUAUUUUGGCUGUACAUGGCUGGUGUUCUUCCCUGGACCUGUGUCCCUAAUCCACACCCUCUGUCUGCACUUCAAAAACCCACCAUGAACACAUCCCUGUCUUCAUAUUCAGGACCUGACUGAACCAGGUCAGAGGUCAAAAUACAGGCUCCAUCCCUAUACUUCAAGCAUGCCUCCCUCCUCUGUGAGGAGGUGAUCUGUGGUUUAACCAGAUAUCCU